RNAcentral lists this ribosomal RNA (253 nucleotides) under uncultured bacterium. RNAcentral's name for it is "partial 16S ribosomal RNA". It matches the Rfam family "Bacterial small subunit ribosomal RNA", at positions 524 to 776 of the family's 1533-position model. The record is from RNAcentral.
UACAGAGGUCCCAAGCGUUGUUCGGAUUCACUGGGCGUAAAGGGUGCGUAGGCGGUCGGGUAAGUUUGAUGUGAAAUCUCUGGGCUUAACCCAGAAAUGGCAUUGAAUACUAUUCGGCUAGAGAGUCGGAGGGGGGACUGGAAUACUUGGUGUAGCAGUGAAAUGCGUAGAUAUCAAGUGGAACACCAGUGGCGAAGGCGAGUCCCUGGACGAUUUCUGACGCUGAGGCACGAAAGCUGGGGGAGCAAACAGG